AAGACCAUUCAUUCCAUGUACGGGAAGGCAAACAGCAAUGGUACCGAUACAUCAAUAACGACACGAGAAACUAAUCCACCCACGUCAUGUGAGAUCGGCUCUUCAAAACUAAUCCAUGUAAAGUAACGAUAGAUCACUCUAGUACCAUCUUUAUUGGAGAGUACUCUUAGGGGUACUCUCAGUAUUGGGCCCCAAAAUUCCAUUUAAAAACUCAUUUCUGAGUCUAAAAAUGAGAGUAUCGUUAUUUGGGAAGAAAUUGAGCAAAUUCCACCCACUCUCUCUCUCUCUUCUCUCUCGUUCAGAAAGGCGAUGGAAGAGACGAUUCGUCCGAAAAUCUGGAAAUUCAACCGAUUCACAUCGAAUCCGUUGAAUUUUCAGGCUAAAUCUGGAGGGUUGAUGGUCACCGGAGGCGAUGGCAUUAUAAAUCGACGAAGACGGGUCUUUGUGGGGACUGUGAGUGCGUUCUGUGUGAAACAUGCUCAGUGUCCAGUUUUGACGAUCAAACGCAUGCCGAUGUUUCUGUUUCUGUUUUGUUCUUACCCUCUGUGGAUUAUUCAAGGGUUUAUUAUUUUCCAGCAUCUUGAGUGCUCUGACAAAAUUUGUAAACUUAGAGUCUUUUGUCCCUUUCCUGAUGUGACGAUAAGGAGAACAUGCUAAAACUCAACUUUUCAUUUUUGUGAUCUUAAAGAUCUUGGAUCAUGAUCGUCUUUUACUAAAGCACCGGAGUUAAGUAUUCUAAUUCAUUGACUUGUUUCAGAUUUGUGCAGGUAUGGAAUCGAAGGCCCUGUUUAUUUAACAGCAAAGGGUGAGAAAGGAGCUGGUGUAUGGUACGUAGAUGAGGAGAAGCAGCAGAUUGUUAAGAUGGAUGGAAGCUUAUCUUACAGUGUCUUGCAGACAGUGAGUAUUCACAUGGAGGUAGUAGAGCCUCAGCCUAAUCGACCAAAACUCCAACUCACUCUCUUGUAAAACUCUCCAACCUUCGUAGUUUUACUUUCACUUGUGUACCAAUGUCAAGAGUUUAGGUGGUUUUACGUUUGUUACCUCUUUGUGUUCAUUAUCGAAGUCAAAGACAUUGUAUCAUCAUUUAUGGUAUCUAUUGAUGGAUGUGAGUGGCUGUGCAUCAAUUUUGGUCAUCUGAUUUCUUGACCAUAUGCUUUUACAUUAUAUGGAUGUAAUACUUGGUACAAUAUUUGCCUUACAAAUGGGGAGAUGGGGAAAAAUGUAGACUUGCAUAUUGGUACAAAUGCAACCAGAA
Camelina sativa (false flax) is the source of this 1255-nucleotide long non-coding RNA. RefSeq lists it as uncharacterized. NCBI's taxonomy places the organism in Eukaryota, Viridiplantae, Streptophyta, Magnoliopsida, Brassicales, Brassicaceae. The record is from RefSeq and is a predicted model, not a curated record.